Long non-coding RNA from Drosophila subpulchrella, 633 nucleotides. RefSeq lists it as uncharacterized. The transcript is spliced from 3 exons. NCBI's taxonomy places the organism in Eukaryota, Metazoa, Arthropoda, Insecta, Diptera, Drosophilidae. The record is from RefSeq and is a predicted model, not a curated record.
UGCUGCGGUUGCUGUACCCCAUGGAUGGGAUGGAUCUGAUAUUUUCACGCUUAAUCACUAACUGUCCCUCUCGCCUGCUGCCGGUGAUUUUUUGUUCUCUCCAAAAAAAGAUCUAUGGCCAAUGCUCAACGGCCAUUCUGUGGUAAUCCGUGAAUAGUUCUAGAGAACCCGCGCGAAUCGCCUAUCUUACGAAUUUGUACAUUGGUUUAUUGUAUGCAGUUUACGGGAAUUGACAUCGAUGUUGACGCUGCCUUCCACCUGAGAUUGGUUGUAUAACUAUGUUUUCACUUUAUUUUGGGAAAUUUCACGACUUAUGACAGAAGAAUUGCACUUUGCUGGAUGAAAUUAUCCGCUUUUGCCUGUGUUUUAUUAACACGGCAUCACUCACACUUGCCGUUGAUCGAUUACGAUUGUUUCGAUUAUUUCGAUUGUGGAAUAAUAACGAUACGUUAUAAGGACGCGACACCAGCGAGCCGAGCCGAUUGAUUCGGAUUGAGGAUUGGAAAUGAAAAUAUUGUACAAGAAUCUAUAUGUGCGAGGAGGUAUAGACGUGUGUAUAUUUCCUACACUUCACUUUACUGGCGCAGAAAAUCGCAUAUACACCGAGAAUGUAUAAUUAUAAAUAAAUGUUCU